RNAcentral lists this ribosomal RNA (157 nucleotides) under Brevistachys subsimplex. RNAcentral's name for it is "5.8S ribosomal RNA". It matches the Rfam family "5.8S ribosomal RNA". Rfam says of the family: 5.8S ribosomal RNA (5.8S rRNA) is a component of the large subunit of the eukaryotic ribosome. It is transcribed by RNA polymerase I as part of the 45S precursor that also contains 18S and 28S rRNA. Lineage: Eukaryota; Fungi; Ascomycota; Sordariomycetes; Hypocreales; Stachybotryaceae. RNAcentral also lists the same sequence under 3 other names. The record is from RNAcentral.
AAACUUUUAACAACGGAUCUCUUGGCUCUGCCAUCGAUGAAGAACGCAGCGAAAUGCGAUAAGUAAUGUGAAUUGCAGAAUUUAGUGAAUCAUCGAAUCUUUGAACGCACAUUGCGCCCGCCAGUAUUCUGGCGGGCAUGCCUGUUCGAGCGUCAUU